RNAcentral lists this ribosomal RNA (493 nucleotides) under uncultured bacterium. Its description in RNAcentral is "bacterial SSU rRNA". It matches the Rfam family "Bacterial small subunit ribosomal RNA", at positions 28 to 513 of the family's 1533-position model. The record is from RNAcentral.
GAUGAACGCUAGCGGCAGGCUUAAUACAUGCAAGUCGAGGGGCAGCAGGUCUGUAGCAAUACAGAUGCUGGCGACCGGCAAACGGGUGCGGAACACGUACAGAACCUUCCUUCGAGCGGGGAAUAGCCCAGAGAAAUUUGGAUUAAUACCCCGUAGUACAUUGAAGAGGCAUCUCUUUAAUAUUAAAGAUUUAUCACUUGAAGAUGGCUGUGCGGCUGAUAGGUAGUUGGCGGGGUAACGGCCCACCAAGCCUACGAUCAGUAACUGGUGUGAGAGCACGACCAGUCACACGGGCACUGAGACACGGGCCCGACUCCUACGGGAGGCAGCAGUAAGGAAUAUUGGUCAAUGGACGCAAGUCUGAACCAGCCAUGCCGCGUGGAGGAUGAAGGUCCUCUGGAUUGUAAACUUCUUUUAUAUGGGACGAAAAAGGAUCUUUCUAGAUCACCUGACGGUACCAUAUGAAUAAGCACCGGCUAACUCCGUGCCAGCC